This is a non-coding RNA of Cinara cedri, 339 nucleotides long. The record is from the annotation of a GenBank genome assembly. Lineage: Eukaryota; Metazoa; Arthropoda; Insecta; Hemiptera; Aphididae.
AAAUACUUCCGACGUUAAAUGUCAGAGACUCGGGCAUUGAUAGAUUACCAAUUGUUUUACCCAGUAAGAAUCAAGAUUUGCUUAUUGGUAUCCCAAAAUUGGAAAAAUCAACAGGAAAAUAACAAGCUAAUGCUAUUUUUUAUGCAUUAGAAAAUUGGGGCGUAACAAAUGUUGUUCAAGCUAUAUGCUGUGAUACCACAGCUUCAAAUACAGGGCGUUUAAAUGGUGCAUGCGUUUUAUUGGAACAAAAAUUGGGAAGAGACUUACUUUACCUACCAUGUCGCCACCACAUAUACGAAAUAGUUUUACGUGGCGUUUUUGAAACUCUACUUCCUCAUA